ACGAACGCUGGCGGCGUGCUUAACACAUGCAAGUCGAACGGAAAGGCCCUGCUUUUGUGGGGUGCUCGAGUGGCGAACGGGUGAGUAACACGUGAGUAACCUGCCCUUGACUUUGGGAUAACUUCAGGAAACUGGGGCUAAUACCGGAUAGGAGCUCCUGCUGCAUGGUGGGGGUUGGAAAGUUUCGGCGGUUGGGGAUGGACUCGCGGCUUAUCAGCUUGUUGGUGGGGUAGUGGCUUACCAAGGCUUUGACGGGUAGCCGGCCUGAGAGGGUGACCGGCCACAUUGGGACAGAGAUACGGCCCAGACUCCUACGGGAGGCAGCAGUGGGGAAUAUUGCACGAUGGGCGGAAGCCUGAUGCAGCAACGCCGCGUGCGGGAUGACGGCCUUCGGGUUGUAAACCGCUUUCGCCUGUGACGAAGCGUGAGUGACGGUAAUGGGUAAAGAAGCACCGGCUAACUACGUG
RNAcentral lists this ribosomal RNA (467 nucleotides) under uncultured bacterium. RNAcentral's name for it is "partial 16S ribosomal RNA". It matches the Rfam family "Bacterial small subunit ribosomal RNA", at positions 29 to 507 of the family's 1533-position model. The record is from RNAcentral.